UACGUAGGGACCAAGCGUUGUUCGGAUUUACUGGGCGUAAAGGGCGCGUAGGCGGCGCGGUAAGUCACUUGUGAAAUCUCUGAGCUUAACUCAGAACGGCCAAGUGAUACUGCAGUGCUAGAGUGUGGAAGGGGCAAUCGGAAUUCUUGGUGUAGCGGUGAAAUGCGUAGAUAUCAAGAGGAACACCUGAGGCGAAGGCGGGCUACUGGGCCGAUACUGACGCUGAGGCGCGAAAGCGUGGGGAGCGAACAGG
Molecule: ribosomal RNA, 253 nt
Filed under: uncultured bacterium
Lineage: Bacteria
Description: partial 16S ribosomal RNA
Rfam family: Bacterial small subunit ribosomal RNA
Source: RNAcentral